GAUGAAGAACGUAGCAAAAUGCGAUAAGUAAUGUGAAUUGCAGAAUUCAGUGAAUCAUCAAAUCUUUGAACGCACAUUGCGCCCGCCAGUAUUCUGGCGGGCAUGCCUGUUCGAGCGUCAUUUCAACCCUCAAGCACAGCUUGGUGUUGGGACUCGCGUUAAUUCGCGUUCCCCAAAUUGAUUGGCGGUCACGUCGAGCUUCCAUAGCGUAGUAGUAAAACCCUCGUUACUGGUAAUCGUCGCGGCCACGCCGUUAAACCCCAACUUCUGAAUGUUGACCUCGGAUCAGGUAGGAAUACCCGCUGAACUUAAGCAUAUCAAUAAGCGGAGGA
RNAcentral lists this unclassified non-coding RNA (332 nucleotides) under soil metagenome. Its description in RNAcentral is "partial contains 5.8S ribosomal RNA, internal transcribed spacer 2, and large subunit ribosomal RNA". The stretch from base 1 to 120 matches the Rfam family "5.8S ribosomal RNA", at positions 35 to 154 of the family's 154-position model. The record is from RNAcentral.